Andrographis paniculata is the source of this 97-nucleotide small nucleolar RNA. NCBI's taxonomy places the organism in Eukaryota, Viridiplantae, Streptophyta, Magnoliopsida, Lamiales, Acanthaceae. The record is from RefSeq and is a predicted model, not a curated record.
CUAUGGCUGUGAUGAUUGUUUUAUACAGCUUGUUUAUGCCAGUUCUGCUUCAGAAAAUUCUUGAUAGAUAAAGCUGUCAAAUAACACUGAGCCUCUU